Molecule: ribosomal RNA, 253 nt
Filed under: uncultured bacterium
Lineage: Bacteria
Description: partial 16S ribosomal RNA
Rfam family: Bacterial small subunit ribosomal RNA
Source: RNAcentral
UACGUAGGGGGCAAGCGUUAUCCGGAAUAACUGGGCGUAAAGGAUGCGUAGGCGGUUAAACAAGUUAUAUGUUAAAUAUAUAGGCUUAACCUGUAGAAAGCAUAUAAAACUGUUUAACUAGAGUGCAGGAGAGGUAAGUGGAAUUCCUAGUGUAGCGGUGAAAUGCGUAGAGAUUAGGAAGAACACCAGUGGCGAAGGCGACUUACUGGACUGUAACUGACGCUGAGGCAUGAGAGCAUGGGGAGCAAACAGG